This 245-nucleotide ribosomal RNA is filed under the name uncultured bacterium. Its description in RNAcentral is "partial 16S ribosomal RNA". It matches the Rfam family "Bacterial small subunit ribosomal RNA", at positions 109 to 354 of the family's 1533-position model. The record is from RNAcentral.
AGUAACGCGUGGGCAACCUGCCCCGCACUGGGGGACAACAGCCGGAAACGGCUGCUAAUACCGCAUAUGCGCACGGCUUUGCAUGAAGCAGUGUGGAAAACUCCGGUGGUGCGGGAUGGGCCCGCGUCUGAUUAGCUGGUUGGCGGGGCAACGGCCCACCAAGGCGACGAUCAGUAGCCGGCCUGAGAGGGUGGACGGCCACAUUGGGACUGAGACACGGCCCAGACUCCUACGGGAGGCAGCAG